Molecule: long non-coding RNA, 12208 nt
Organism: Gallus gallus (chicken)
Lineage: Eukaryota; Metazoa; Chordata; Aves; Galliformes; Phasianidae
Exons: 10
Source: RefSeq, a predicted model, not a curated record
AGACACACAACGAGAGGCCCCAGCACAGAUGUAGCUGGACCCCAGGUUCAUCUCUGAAGGAAUAAACCUACCAGGCUGAUAAGGUGCAGCAACUGACAGCAUCUAGGAAACAUCCCCAGAACACCACAAAAAAUCUGCACUCCUGAUUUUGAGAGAGGUUGUGAUGCAUGGCCCAAAGGAAGCAUCUCUGCACCCAAGGAACAAGCCACUGCAUUUGUUGACAGUUUACAUGGUACACAGGAGGGAACUCUGCCCUGGGCAGAUGAGGAUUGUCCAGACAGAUGACAGAAUCUGAGAAGUAGCAGGAGCUCUUUGGCAUCCUGCUGUGAUCUGUGGGGAGAAAGGUGCAGCUGUGAGAGUCCAGGCUAUGGCAGCCCUGCUAUUGGAACAUGAACUGCUGCCAGAUGAUCUCUUGUCUCUUUUAAGUAAAGCUUAGCUCCUGCCAUUUGUUUAGACCCUAAGAGUAUUAAUUACCCUUAAUGGCCUUAAACCAGCCCCACCUGGUGCUUCCAACCACACCCAUGGGCCCAGAAGCCAAUUUAAGCACUGCAGGAGGUCCUUAUCUCCUUUCUUGAGCUGUGUUACAUCCUGCUAGAUGGCGGUUUGGCUAAGGACCUGCUGAUUCUAGCACAGUUGGAUUUCUCAACUUGCUCUUACCACGGUAUUUCCUUGUCAACUGGGCUACUAUCUCCAGGAUUGCCUGCUUGCAUUGCUCAGGUGUUUCCAUGGCUAUGUGUGCAGUCACAGUACAUCCAUGAACCGCAGCCCUGUCAGCUCUGUGAGGCCACCACUACCUCUUUGUGCAGGUGCUACAUGGACCAGUGCUCCCUUGGGAUGUGACGGAGGGAUGAGCAGGUGGUGGCAGGGAGCCCAGAGCAAGACUGGGUGAUGGGCAGAGGAAAAGCAGCCAGGUGAUGCACUUCUCUUCCUCUCUAUGACAAACUGCAAAUGCCAAAGGUACGUCAGAGGGAUGGAGCUGCGUCAAAGGAGCCCUUCUGUAAGGAUGUGAGGGAGCCGUGACUCCUGAGCGAGGUCAAGGCCAGCCGGGGAGCCUCCAUGGUGAGAAAUCCCUGAUGGACAAACAGCCCACACAGCUGUGAGCUCCCGGCACGCUGCACUCAGGGAGGCUUUGGCACUGACCCCAAUGCUGCCAGGAUUUCCCCUGCAAUUAGCAGCGUGCAGCCGUCUGGAGAGGAUGUUCCCUCCGGAAGGCUGCAAAGUGAGCUUAGUAUCUGUGAAGCAAAGGAUAAAGCCUUGUUAGCCUCUGGCAGACAAAAUGCUGACUUGAACCCAAGAAAUAUUGGAUGCUGCGUACAGCACUAAAUAAUGUCUGGUUUGGGGGUUGGCAAGGUUGCUUAGGAGCUGGCAGUGGCCAACUGUAUGUGGGGGGACAGGUAGGGAGCAGCCACCAGGUGCUCAGGGCAGAUGUAUGAUACCUCUUCAAUGGAGUUUUUCUUUAAAAAAAGAAACAAACUGUGUUGUUAAAGACCUUAACUACCUGUAUUUGAAGAUGGUUGUCUGAAAAGAUGAAAAACAUACAUUUUCAUUUUCAUUUCAGAUUAGCAUGGUAAACAGGUAGAUCUGUUCUUUCAAAUGGAGCAUUCAGUUCCAUUUGUUAGCUUUGUUGCUGAUAUUUCACCUCUCUUUUAUUUACUUUACAUGGUUUGACAAGAAAUUCUCAGCGAGAUAAUAUAUCUACAUGAAAGUCUGGCUUAGGAAACAAGUCCAGAGGUUUCAGUAGGACAGAAUCAGUGUAGGUCUUUGCCAGUGCAGGUCUGCCUCCAUUCUGCAGAAAGCACUCAGCAGAGUUACCCAAUCAUGUGAAUAGUUUUGGUAGAAAAAAAAAUGUAUUACUUUCCCCCCCCCCCCCUAAAAAUAAGUAUAUUAAUGGAAAUCAAGAUUGCAUCCACUUGGGAAAAAGAAAUUGAAUCACAAGUAAUGGAAGCUAUUACUCUGAAAAUAAUGCCUUCUCCCAAGCCAGGUGGGAUGAUUCCUACGGCAAAGAGCUACCAGUACAAAGCGAAUUAGUAAACAUUCAUGUUGCUUUUUGCCAUAUAACGUUAGACAAAAUGUAUAUGUCAUCUCGAUUUCCCCUGAGCAGCAUGGCAAAAAAUGUUCCUUACACAGCAACCAGGCAGUGCACUGCAUUUCUGAGGCUGAACUGAGGCAGGUGGUGGAGUACAUCUACAUUCUUAGUAAGAAAUACUGCUUGCCUGGUCUGCAUGGUUCAGAACUAUCCCUCUUUGUUUUCUUUUCAGAGUUCAAAUUAGCACUCAUACACAGAAGAGACCCACAGUGCUGGAGUUUGCUGUUCUCAGUGGGGUACCUGAGAUCGUGCCCAACAUACCCAAAGGCUGCAGGUCCAGCAGUAUGGCUCCGGCUCCUGCAUCAGCACCGCAGUCAAUGACAAGGGGAAGUUUUUACAGCCUGAGGUCAAUGAGAAGUGAUAAACAACAUGGGGAAUGACAAAAAUAAAUAACUAAUAAGGAUGGGGAAAUUAGAAGGGGAAAAAGAAAAAAAGAAAAAAGAGAGAAGAAAUCAAAGUAUGCUGAAAACUUACCCAAAUCAAAAUCCAGGCCUUGAUGAUGUUCUUGCAGGAGCCUGGGCAAAAUCUCCCUCUGACUUUGAUGGUGGAGGAUCAGUUCCUUAGGAAGGGAGGGAAAUUUGGACAUAACCACAAGAAAGAAUGUACUGCAAAGUGAAGGAAUUAGGUGAGCAGUGCCGUACAAAAAUAACGAUUCAGUGGCUGGUAGGCAAUAUUGUCAUCUCUGCACACAUCCAAGGACUUAAAUGACCCACUAGUCUGGCUGAGGAUCAGCUCCCUUAAUAAUAAGAAAGAGUAAUUUAAACUACGGCUUUUUUCAUUGUGUUUUACACAGGUUUGGGGAAUAUGUUAUCAAAGGCUCCAAUUCUGGCCAAAGUCCACAGGCAUCAUACCUGUGGUCAGGCCCCGGAUAGAAAGAUCAGAGCUGUCUUUGCUUAGCCCCACUCCCAAAAACAGAUCAAUCGGAGGUAACUCAAAAGGAAAUAUUCUACAGGGAACAGCUGAAGAUGCAUUUAGAGGAAAUAAUCCCCAUUCAGGAUGCCAUUAUUAAAGGAGAGAGAUAACUAUCAGAGCUGAGAUAUGUCAGGGCAACCUCAUUGACAUGGGACUGGAGAACUUCUACUGUAAAAGCAGAGAAACUAGGUCAGUGCUUUUUGAAGAGAGGAAAGCUCGGGUGGACAUCAUUAUUUUAUAUGUGAUUCUAAGGGGAGUAGCUGGGAGAGAUGUCAGAAAACUGGUGUCAAAUACAGGAACAAAUGGACAGGCUGUAGGGAAGGGAAAUGAACAGAAACUAAAGGAGGUUCAAACCCAGGAGAUAUAAACAUUUCUGUACACAUCAAGUAGUUAAUGCAAGGGCUGGGUUACGGAAAGGGCUGGUAAGAGCAACCAAUAGGGGUUUGGGAAAGGAAAUCUUUAUGGGGCACAGACAAAUCAGUCUCUUGCUCUUGGUCUGUCCUGAGGAUUGCCCAAGUUUCAAUCUCAAAAUUACUUUGAGUUUCACAUACAGUAAAUCUCUGUGCAAGCGCAAUAGAUUGAAGUGACAAUUCAGUUUAUCACUUGAAGAUAAAACUCAGAAGAACAUUUGCCUUAUAAUUCUAUUAAUAUAAAUGUAAUUACAAGGGCUAACUCCAAUUCAAAUGUUAACUUAUAAGCCUUGGUGGAGGUAGCAGCCUACAGAGAAAGAGAUGAUGCUGGAAUCCCUGAUUUUGAUCAAUAGUUCAAUGUUAAUAGACUUUAUUUAUGAGUUGGAGCAUACGGUUUGAAAAUGAGCCUAAUGAUUAAGUUGUGUGUGUGUAGACACACUUCCAUACAUUCUCUAAGCACUAGAAUAUUUGCACGUUACAGUUACCUCUAAAGGAGAAAGAAAAACCUCUCACUGGUGUUGAAAGAGAUGAGACAAGUUUUUAUGUCUAAAGAACGGAGUGCUACCUAUCACACAAGUGUGAGCACAACUUCCAGAAGCUGGUGCUUUAAAUACGGAUUGUACCAAUAUUUUUUGUUCUGAGUGUCUAAGAUGCAAACCAGCCACUAAGAGCAAAAAGAAGUAAGUUGAGGUAAUGGCCUGGGGCAAGGGGAUUUUGAAGGCAUUGGAGAAUCAGUGGACUGUGUAGUCUAAGGUUCUCCCAGUGCGUUUCUUAUGUCUUCCGAAAUAUAAAGGCAGAACUUCAUCUGAUGGAAAUCAGAACAGUGCUAUUGAAGUUCAUGGAGCUGUGGAUUUGGUGCCCAUAUUCAGAAAUAAUGAAUACAAGGAGGAAAAAUGUAGCACAAACACUGUAUAUCCAACAGCCCAUCGAAUAUGGGUCAAAUUCAGAGAUCAUGUGAAAAAGUGUAAUGCAAGUCCUUUUCCUUGGGAAUUUCCCUUGUUUAAGAAUAAUAAAAAUUUUCUACUGCAUUACCUUGGUUUGAGUAAUGCCACAAACCUUCCUCCCUUCUUGCCCAAGGGUUAAACAAGAGAGAUUUUGAAGUGAAUGUGUGAGUAGGGAAGAGUGUGAUUGUGCCAUAGCCCUGUCCUGUUCCAUUCUGCUCCGUUGUAGCAGAAAUGUACCCAUGCGUUCCGGAUCAUAAAAAUCCAUUGCAAAGAAAUGCUCAGAAACGUGGAGUUCAGCAAAGGAUUCGGUACACACAUUUUAAAGGGUCUGUGAUACCCUCGGAUCGUUUCUGAACUGCUGGGGUGUGAUCCUGAGGUGAACUGGUCCAUCUCAACCGCCGUGAUAGCCACUGAGACAUUGAUGUUGACGUGGAACCAAAAAUUUGUCAGGGCACUGGAAAAGAGCGAGGAUCACAGAAGUGAAUGAUACUGAUCAAAGCAGAUGAGAGUCAGGAGUGUUUAUACGGGAGAUGCGGACUCGCACACGCACUCAGCGAUCUGAAGCCGCUUAGAGUUAAUAUGCUGUCUAUUAACAUUUGCUCAAAUGCAGCACCUGUCACAGCACGUACAGCGUACGUGUUUGUUGGGUCAGCCUCAGCAGAGGGGAGCGAGGUGUGGUAAGAGAGGAGCUCACUCUGCGUGGGUAUGACACCUAAAUAAUGCAGAAUGUGUGCUCUGUCUUCUCCCCAAAAACCAAAACCAGGGGCUUGAACUUUGUCUUUACCCAGCAAUGACCACAGCUCAUGGUUCUAAUAAUAUUUGAAUGUCUCUCAUGCUUUAGUAUUUGCCUCCCAGCGGUACGCUGCUAGAAAAGGGGCUGCGUUGUCCAUGUUUUACUGAUGGUAUGCAGCACAGAGGGGAGCUGGAAGCAGGCUUCCUAUAGCCAGAGCUGGAACUGAAGGCUCUCACCCUCCGGUUGUGUGCUUAUGGAUCAGUGCAUGCAGGAAAACAAACAGCACCACAACAGCCACAAAUCUUGUACCGCUGGCUUGAUAGUAUACACUGCAAGUGGCACCAGGAGUAUAUGAUACUGUGCAGGAGGAAAUCAGAUGGCCAAUGACUCUUCCUCUCACUGGGGCUUAAAGCAGCAAGCCAUUAUGAUAGCAGCUGGGCACUCUGUGGGAAGAUCAUUCACACCACAUCCACAUAUGGACUUUCAGAAAAGAUGACGUGUAUUACUUUGUGUGUCCUUAAGCAAUAGGAAAGCAGUGGAUUUGCAUUUCGGGCAGUCCCAAAUGUCAUUGUUACCGUCCGUGCUAUUGUUGUGUGUGUUGGCCUGAACUCUGACAGCUCACUGUGUAGUAGAUAGCUUCAGCGCAAGCCCGUGGUCUUAAUGAGUAAAUGAAGUUACUGUUUCUUUAGUUUAUUCUAAAUGUUGAGCCCAGCAUGGGAUCUAACCUGGAAUAGUCAUCUUGAGAAUAUUGCAGUGGAAAGCAGAGCCUAGGAUUUAACAUUGGAAAUUAGAAGUUGAUCCUGCUUCUUAUACAAAAUUGAGAUUGACAAAAUUGAGGUUUAUCUACAUAAACCUUUAAACAAAGAUGUGGCUCUGAAUCAAAAUUAGGGAACUGGAGAAGUGAAGUUGAGGAUUUUGUUCUCUUAAAGGAAACUUGCCCAGAAAGGCUGUCAGCAGAAAGAGCUGCCGCAGCAAGGGAGCUAAGCACAGACAUUAAUGGAGUCGGUUCUUUUUCUAGAGGUCAAUUUUGUAUAAAUCACGAUUGUUUAAAAAUGACAAUUAUUGAUUAAUUAAAUUUAGACUUGGAGCUUAGCCCUCUUAGUUUUGAAGAGCCUAUACGCCAAAUUGGCAUGAAUGACUAACUGAAAAAAAAAUCAUUAUUUAAUUGAGUGCUGCUCAGAUAGGAACUAAUGCCAGCAAUGGUUUUGGAGGCCCUUUCCCCACAAGUACAAAUAAAGUGGGCUUUUACAAGUCCCUCUCCGCACUCAUAUUCCUUAUAGCAGCCUGCCCUGUGUCUGACUAUAAGGAAUUUUUAUACUGCUGCCUCCAAUCCUGCUCCACAAAAGGCAGAGUUAAGUCUGAAAGUAUCUUAUGGGUCCAAAAGCCCAACAGCAAAAUGCACAAAGCUGAACUGCACUGCUACACAAGCAAUUUCUACACUUGCAUGAGCAUAGUUUAAAAUUAACUGGAUAAAGUUCUGGAGGAGAAAAACACUUCUGGGCCAGGGGAGGCAGGACCAGGCCCUUCUUGUGGAGGGAACCACUGGGAGAAGUAAAAGGGCGAUGAUCAAGGCCAUGCCUGUGGCUUGUGUGGGGCUGGAGGAGAGUCAGGCCAGCAGUGAAGGGGCACCAUGUUGGCGUGAGGCGAUACGUUAUCAUGGGGAGCUCCAGAGCUGAUCCCACACUUAAAAAUAGAUUGACAUUUAUCCAGGAGGGCAGCUGAAAUCUAACAUCUGGUGUAACUGUACAAACCUGACCUUAGGUCACGGCUCAGACACAACUCCUGGGGACAGAGCUGACUGGGCUUGCUGGACUCACCGGUGGUGAAGGGGGACGUUCUCCUUCUUAAUCCAUACUCAAGGCGGUCAUGCAGGCAUUGUGUUCUCUCUAGGUGCUCGUAUGGCUUCACGAUGUUACUACAUCACAAACAGAGCCCAUCCGAGUAUGAGUCAUUUCCAUCAAAAGAGGAGGAUGCCUUGAUCCGUGUGCGAGCAGCAGCUGUUGGAGCAAACACAAACAUGCAUGCCAAGGAUUGUAAGGAUGGAGUUUAUCUACUAUGUAAACAACCACCUGCUGCAAAUGAAAAAUUACUCCCUCACCACCUGAAUAAGAUAAGCAUAUGAUGAGGGGGAACGAAGAGACAGAUUUAUUAUUAAUUUGCUGGAACUUUCAAACCAAACAUCUCUUUUGCGGUGGAACAGUAGGAUGCACCAGGAAGCAGUGCUCCUUGCCCCAGACCUGCUCAGCAGCAUUUAUUUUGCCUAAGUGAUUUUCCUUUUUCUUUUUUUUUUUCCUAAGUCUGCUGGAGAUGAAAACACCAACCCAAAGAAGAUAAUUAAAAGCUAAAUGAAACCACAUACAGCUGUGCUACUACAUAGCUAAUGAACAUGCAAAUAUAUACAUAUGACAAGGACAUAAUGCAGACUGGCUGCCUUGAGUGCUGAGUGCAGAUUUCCAAGAGCUGGAAAUGCUAUUGAUUGUAGCUGAGCUAAACUUCCUGACUCCAGACAUCAAAGAUCAGCCUCAAUGUAAUCAUCACACAGCAUAUGGGAGUGUGGCUGUGAGGUGCUGAUGAGUGAUGGCUUGGGGACCCGAAUGUUUGCACAUAGGGUGGGAGACAUCCCAUUGGCCACCCAGCACUGAGCACCAUAUAGCCUUCCUCAGUCUUAUUGCCUGCUGAGAUUCUGGAGCUGUGGAUUUGAGCUGGGAUACUCCCUUUUGCCUUCCCACAUCACUUGGCAAGGUGCUGAUAACAUGGCAGACACACUCCCAGGAGGACCAUGUUGUAGGUAACACGUACAAGGCAAUGCUUCUGGCUCCUGUGAGGCAGUAGGCAUGAGCACCUGGACAGGUUCUCCUUGGAUAGCUUUCUCCUGCGCUGGAGUGAAAGGAGAUCAAAUCAGAUUUCUCUUGUUAGCCAAAAAACUAACAACCAAUUUACCAACAUCUAUUGAUCCCUCUGAGCUCACAGCCAGAAUACAGAAGGCAGCUCCCAAAUAUAUCCUUGUACAUCGGUGCCCCAGCAGAAAAGAACCUCACAGCCCACCCAGAGAUGAGACGAGAUAUGCACAGAGCAGAGGGGACCUGGUCUUCCCCGCCUUCACCUUGUGCCCCACUCCUCAGCCACGCCACGAUGGCGAUGUUACAGAAACAGACUUGUUAUCCUCCACAAUGGCCACAGAAGCAGCGCAGAGCCUGAGGGACUUUCCAGGAGCAUCACGGAGGGAUGGAGCACAGCCCUGGGGGGAGAAGAUGGCAGAGACUGUGGGACAGAAACCAAACUUGUGCCGAACACAAUGCUUAGUGCAUAAAAAUUAAUCAAGUACUGCAAUGACUUGCUUUAUUCAUAAUACUUAAUGGUCAUGUAAUAGGAGUUUUUAUUCUGCAGUUAAAGUUCAUAAGUGCAGGUUUUACAUGUAGAAAGGUAUUAUGCUGAUAGUUUAAUUACACACCUUUCUGCACACCAAAGGAAAUGGGUUAUGCGGGUUUUGUAAUUAAAGAAGGACUUCUGAGGGGAAAUGAACUUUGCAGUUAGCAGCGUAGUGUUUGAUUUUUAUCAGGUAUUUUUGUUUUGAGUUUGCCAGCACUCGCUGUGUGGUAAACAGGUGAGAACACCCCGAGCACGAGGUGCCAGGGAGAAGCUGCGAGUGUGCAGCAGAGUAGCAGUAUUUAAGAGCAACAUGGGUGAGCAUGAGGCACCAGCGUCAUGGGUUGGAAGGUGCUCCACAGCUCUGUCUGUGCAAUUCUAUACAGUACAAGUCUGUCCAGCAUGUCUAGGAAACAGGAAAAAAAAAGCACGGAGCACUUAAUUAAAAUUAAACCAUGGUGCUCGCCAAAGUAAUAAAGAGCUCUACUUCUUAGUUUUCUUAUUUUUGUUUUCACUAGAUGUCAUGGGCACUGAACAGAGUUUUCCCUUCCUGCAUGCCUACAAAGGUAACAAAGCCAAAAAUAUGAUGGAUAAGAGUGUGUUUUUGCUAUUGGAGUACUCAGGGACUACUCACAGCAUUUAAGGUAAAGAUGGGUACAAGCCAUUGCUAACUUGAGGCAGUUCUUGUCUCAUAUUAAUUAACAAUGUGCCACCUAUGGGGUGUCAGGGAAAGCAGUAGAACCAGGGCUCCUGUAGCAUAAUUUCAGUUCCAUAUAAAAAAGCUGUCAAAAAGCAUAUUUGGGUGUAUAUAUACUCGUAUUUACAAACUGCCAGGAGAAAUCCAUGUUCAAGCACAGUAAAUGAGCUAUAGGGUCCACACUGGACCCAGUCAGCUCUGUGCUGAGGUCUGUGAUAUAAGCAGCUCAUACCACGCUCAGCACAAAUUAAAAAGAUCUAAGCAGAAUCGUCCAAAAAGAAAAUUUAAAAUGUUUUUACAAAAACAAAUAGAAAAGGACAAGGCCUGAAUUACUGUGAGAACGCCCUUUCCUUUCUGGCGAGGCUGAAUAUUUUUGUUUGCCUGUGAAGGUGGAGCCCAGGUUGAGGAUGCCCAUAGCCAUGCUCCUUUUGCACCUCAUUGGUCGCUCUUAGCCAGCAGUAAGUCUGGAAGUGACUGUCUCCCACACAGAGCCACUGCAAUACUCUCAACAUCCAUUUAAUUGGAGUGGACAUUCGGUAAUUACAAAAGGAACAGUUGUGUAAAGGGAAUAUCCAAAUAUAACUGGACAUUUUUCUUUGAAUUUCCUUGGCCAACUGCAUAAAAUCAAUGACAAUGAGAGAGAACUGUAACUGUUUUUCUCUUAUUAAAGUCAUACACUUUGGCUCUACUCGUGGUUGUUAACAUAUUGUUGAAAGUGCUGUGACUGCAGCUUUCAACCCUCAUCCUGCAAUCAGGCCCUCACAGCACUGUUGUGGAUUACAAAUAGUCAUUUGCUUAAAAAUUAAACGUUACUUAUAAAACAACAACAAAUGCCAACCAAAUACAAACAGGUAUAAAUGUGAUUGCUCAGUGUCAAGUCCGGGUCUUCAGCCACCACAAUGUAUAGGACAAGAGCGAAUGGCCUCAAGUUGUGUCAGGGGAGGAUCAGGUUGGAUAUUAGGAAAAAUUUCUUCUCAGAAAAAGUGGUCAGGCACUGUAAUGGGGGUGGAGGAGCCACUAUCCAUGGAGGUGAUAAGGCAGGGAUAGAUGUGGUGCUAAGGGACAUGGUUAGUGGGCAAUAUUGGUAGUAGGUGGACGAUUGGACUGGAUGAUCUUAGAGCUAUUUUCCAACCUUAAUGAUUCUAUGAUUCUAUAAUUCUCUAUCAACUGGUGAGUGGGGAUCACAACGCCCUGAGGCUAGGCUGAAGUACCAUGUAGGCAACAGGCAGAAGUAGUGCAAAUACACACACACAUUUAUACAAAAUAGAUAUAAUUUGCAUUAUGCUUUUUGGGUGUACACGAAUAGCACAUCCUUUGCAAUCAGUAAUGCAAGAGAUUCCCUCAGCCCCAGGCUCACUGCUCAAGCUCCCUUGUACAAAUCCAGGGAGCGUCAUGCAGUCACAGAGAUGCUCUCCUCAGUGCACAUUCCUACGAUCUGCUGAGUUCUCCACCCUUGCAGAAAACGAUACUGCUCCAAUUUUAUUAUUUUUUUUAAGUCUAACAAGGGUAAUUAUAAUAGGAUUAACAGAUUUUUUUUUUCCCUCCACAAAGUACAACUGUCUCAUAUCAGAGAGAGUAUUAUAGCAGACUUAUGACUAGACGAGUUUUUACUGUAUAUGGAAAUGUAUUAAAAUGAAUGUAUGGCUCAAACACACGCAUCGCUCACUGUAUUGUUUUGCAGCAGCUACUUCUCCCACAAAGGGCGACCACAUGUGAAGAGCGAGAUUCCCAGUAAGUAUCUGGUAAACAUUUGGAAACGAGAGACAAAUAGCGCAGUGCAAUUGCACCAUCGUACUUCAAACACCCACUAGAAAAAAAAAGAAAGAAUCCAUUGCGCAGCGCGCCAAGCCUGGCUCCCCAAACCGGGAGGAAUCGCAACGCCGGUUCGUCUUCAUAAUCUCUGUCGUGAUCGAAAUCUGGACUGUGGUUGGCUGUUGUCACUAAGGAGAGCGGGCCUUCAUUUUCAUCUGGAUCUAGCGGUUCUUCUUUGACAUGCACGGGGUGCCUGGAAAAACGAAAACAUGGUCACUCAGCGAGCUGCUCGCUCCAACACGGCCCUGACAGCUCGGGGGGCUGGGAAGGAACGUGGGGCGGUUUGGGCCUUUGGAGCUGCAGGGCACUGAGGAGCAGAGCCUGAACGUGGAGCCGGGCUGUGAAGGCUGCGCUCCGCCGCUCGGCCUCCCGCGGGAAACGCUCCGGGAGGAGUACCUCGAUGGGCCUUCAGUCUCGGCGUCGAGAGAAAGCACUCUCAGCUGACACGUUAAGUUGAUUAAUACAAUCUUUGGAUAAAUAAGCGGAAUGAGCACCCGAAAAGCAAAGGAGAGGGCUGUCGGCCCGCCGAGCCGGCGGAGGUUGGGCUAAUCACCGCGCUGUGUGUGCGGCGUCGCUCGUUAACAUGCAGAACCUGUGAGACAACUCUCCAGAGGACGACCCCAAGUGAGGUUCUAUCAUUAAUCAACUUCAAGCAAACACAGCAAAGAGACACCAUGAUACAUGCUUUAAACUCCAAAUUAAUGCAUAUUUUUACAAACUGUCAAUAAGGGAAGAAAAGCCCUGCCAGGAAACACAAACAGAGAGGAAAAGGCUCGCUCAACACAACAAUAUGAUAAGAAAGCACAGUCCUAACGAGAAUAAUAACACUGUCAGCUGUAAACAAGGCAGAACAUGAUCCCCAGCUCACGGUGGGCACAAGGAUGUACUAAAGAGAUGAGAUCUGCCAAAUUUCUCAUUAUGGCACAGCACAUGAAUAACCCGCAGGGGAACGGGGCUUGGUCAUUCAAAACGGGUAUGAUAACAAUUGAAAAAUGUUGUUCGUAAAUCAUAUUUACAACAAAUCCUAUACAAAUACAAAUUACCUUUUCUUUUUUUGUUCGGCAGCUUUUGAAAUGUAAAAUAGCCAUGUGAGUCAAUAGUGUCUUGUUGGUGGGACUUUAUAGGAAAGUAGGAUUUUAUUGACAUUACCAAGUAUUAAUAAUGCGACACAGCAAUGGAGACCCUGUUUGCUUCCUAAAUAAUUGAUGUUGUAGGCAAUCCCUUAAAAUAAAGUGUUAAUGAGUUCAA